CCUACGGGGCGCAGCAGUGGGGAAUAUUGCACAAUGGGGGGAACCCUGAUGCAGCGACGCCGCGUGAGCGAAGAAGUAUCUCGGUAUGUAAAGCUCUAUCAGCAGGGAAGAAAAAUGACGGUACCUGACUAAGAAGCCCCGGCUAACUACGUGCCAGCAGCCGCGGUAAUACGUAGGGGGCAAGCGUUAUCCGGAUUUACUGGGUGUAAAGGGAGCGCAGGCGGCGCGGCAAGUCUGAUGUGAAAGCCCGGGGCUCAACCCCGGGACUGCAUUGGAAACUGUCGCGCUCGAGUGUCGGAGAGGUA
This 305-nucleotide ribosomal RNA is filed under the name uncultured bacterium. RNAcentral's name for it is "bacterial SSU rRNA". It matches the Rfam family "Bacterial small subunit ribosomal RNA", at positions 338 to 659 of the family's 1533-position model. The record is from RNAcentral.